Molecule: ribosomal RNA, 406 nt
Filed under: Anisus sp. DCLF77
Lineage: Eukaryota; Metazoa; Mollusca; Gastropoda; Planorbidae
Description: partial large subunit ribosomal RNA
Rfam family: Archaeal large subunit ribosomal RNA (bases 1-146)
Source: RNAcentral
AACAUAGUUUUAUGAAAAAAUAUAAAAUAAUUUCUGCCCAAUGUAUUUUUAUCAAUGGCCGCAGUACCUUGACUGUGCUAAGGUAGCGUAAUCAAUUGGCUUUUAAUUGAAGUCUAGUAUGAAAGGGAUAAUGGAAUUUAGCUGUCUAAAGAUUUUUAUUAAAAUUUAUUUAUAAGGUGAAAAUACCUUUAUUUAAAAUAAAGACGAGAAGACCCUAUGAAUUUUUAAUAAAUUUUUGUUGGGGCGACAGUUUAAAAAUAAAUCUUAAGUUAAUUUAAUAUAACGAAUAUAUUAAUAUAAAUAAAAUUACCUUAGGGAUAACAGCAUUAUUAUUUAAAUAGUUUGUGACCUCGAUGUUGGACUAGGAACUAUACGGCUAGCCGUCUUUAUAGAUUUGUUCUGUUCG